RNAcentral lists this ribosomal RNA (266 nucleotides) under uncultured bacterium. RNAcentral describes it as "partial 16S ribosomal RNA". It matches the Rfam family "Bacterial small subunit ribosomal RNA", at positions 92 to 354 of the family's 1533-position model. The record is from RNAcentral.
CGACCGGCGCACGGGUGAGUAACACGUAUGCAACCUGGCCGUGACAGAUGGAUAACCGGGAGAAAUCCCGCCUAAUACAACAUAAUGCCGGGAGGGGACAUCCCCUGCCGGUCAAAGGGGGCGACCCCGGUCAUGGAUGGGCAUGCGGCGCAUUAGGUAGUUGGUGGGGCAACGGCCCACCAAGCCGACGAUGCGUAGGGGUUCUGAGAGGAAGGUCCCCCACACUGGUACUGAGACACGGACCAGACUCCUACGGGAGGCAGCAG